RNAcentral lists this ribosomal RNA (492 nucleotides) under uncultured bacterium. RNAcentral describes it as "partial 16S ribosomal RNA". It matches the Rfam family "Bacterial small subunit ribosomal RNA", at positions 29 to 507 of the family's 1533-position model. The record is from RNAcentral.
AGUGAACGCUGGCGGUAGGCCUAACACAUGCAAGUCGAACGGCAGCACAGUAAGAGCUUGCUCUUACGGGUGGCGAGUGGCGGACGGGUGAGGAAUACAUCGGAAUCUACUUUUUCGUGGGGGAUAACGUAGGGAAACUUACGCUAAUACCGCAUACGACCUACGGGUGAAAGCAGGGGAUCUUCGGACCUUGCGCGAUUGAAUGAGCCGAUGUCGGAUUAGCUAGUUGGCGGGGUAAAGGCCCACCAAGGCGACGAUCCGUAGCUGGUCUGAGAGGAUGCACAGCCACACUGGAACUGAGACACGGUCCAGACUCCUACGGGAGGCAACAGUGGGGAAUAUUGGACAAUGGGCGCAAGCCUGAUCCAGCCAUACCGCGUGGGUGAAGAAGGCCUUCGGGUUGUAAAGCCCUUUUGUUGGGAAAGAAAAGCAGCAGGUUAAUACCCCGCUGUUCUGACGGUACCCAAAGAAUAAGCACCGGCUAACUUCGUG